UUGUCACUGGACGAAGUGAAUGGGUCAUAUGGGCUUGUCCAAGUUCCGACCCAGGAAAGUCCCCGGGCCACUUAUCCGCAGAGAUGCGCCUCGGUAACGAGAGAAUCUUGCGGUGGAGAGAUUCAAAUUGCUGAGACGCGUGUGUGGAGCUUAUGUGGUCUCUCCGCCGAUGAUAUCAUGGCCGUUCGACAGUUAUUCACCUCUUCCUCUAUGGACUAACUGAACGGGGCUUACGUUUCAAUGACA
This 246-nucleotide RNase MRP RNA is filed under the name Arabidopsis thaliana (thale cress). RNAcentral's name for it is "RNase MRP". It matches the Rfam family "RNase MRP". Rfam says of the family: RNase MRP is an enzymatically active ribonucleoprotein with two distinct roles in eukaryotes. In mitochondria it plays a direct role in the initiation of mitochondrial DNA replication. Lineage: Eukaryota; Viridiplantae; Streptophyta; Magnoliopsida; Brassicales; Brassicaceae. The record is from Rfam by way of RNAcentral.